This 332-nucleotide ribosomal RNA is filed under the name Ochotonobius hirticrus. RNAcentral describes it as "partial 16S ribosomal RNA". Lineage: Eukaryota; Metazoa; Arthropoda; Insecta; Siphonaptera; Leptopsyllidae. The record is from RNAcentral.
UCCAACAUCGAGGUCGCAAUCACUUUUAUCGAUAUGUUCUCUCUAAAAAUAUUACGCUGUUAUCCCUUAAGUAACUUAACCUUUUAAUCACUAUAAAUGGAUCAAAUCAUAUAUCAAUGAAAAAAAAGUUUAACAAAUUUUCUUAUCACCCCAAUAAAAUAUUAUAUAAAGCUUUAAAGGGUCUUCUCGUCCUUUAANAAUAUUUAAGCUUUUUAACUUAAAAAUUAAUUUCUAAAACAUUUAAAAUAAGACAGUUAAUAUUUCAUUCAAUCAUUCAUACCAGCUUCUAAUUAAGAAACUAUUUAUUAUGCUACCUUUGUACAGUCAAAAUA